Mustela erminea (ermine) is the source of this 634-nucleotide long non-coding RNA. RefSeq lists it as uncharacterized. The record is from RefSeq and is a predicted model, not a curated record. NCBI's taxonomy places the organism in Eukaryota, Metazoa, Chordata, Mammalia, Carnivora, Mustelidae. The transcript has 3 exons.
UUCAUCAGUCUUCCAUAAUACCCAGUGCUCACCCCAACAAGUGCUCUCCUGAAGGUCCGUCACCCCUGGUUAAAAACCCACUGGAACAGAGCCUGGCUCAUGAAGACCGCUCUACAGACAGCUGCCUUUAUCUCUGCAUAUGGGCUGCUUGACAGGACACAAGGAGCCCCAUGAGGCUGGUGGGGUGUGCAUGGACACCAUUGGCCUCAUGCAGUCAGCCUGCCUUGGCAUAGAUGCGUUACUGACCAGCUGGGGGAGUGGGCAGCAGGACUGCAGCAAGAGUGGAAUCCCCUGAGAACCCGGCCCACCGGAUCGUGUGAACACCGGUGGUGUCUGCUGUACAAGGAGAAAGUUCAGAAUACGAUCUCACGGAUUUGGCCUUCACGUCCAGUGUGCUUCCCGGGCCCGAGACUCUGGUUACCAUACCAUCUGACACCUGCUGGCUGACCUGUCCCGCUCUCCUCGUCAACAGGGAGCUCCAGGAAGGCAGGGGCCGCCGAAGCUCCAAUCAUGCCUAUGGAGGCUGGGGCAAUGUUCUUUCUGGAACAUUUCACACGAAUUCCCCUGUUCGGGAUGCUGGUACAGCCCCCAACUGAUCUUGCUGUGUUUUCACUUCUGAGUCAUUACCACAAAC